RNAcentral lists this ribosomal RNA (253 nucleotides) under uncultured bacterium. RNAcentral describes it as "partial 16S ribosomal RNA". It matches the Rfam family "Bacterial small subunit ribosomal RNA", at positions 524 to 776 of the family's 1533-position model. The record is from RNAcentral.
UACAGAGGUGGCAAGCGUUGUUCGGAAUUACUGGGCGUAAAGGGCGCGUAGGUGGCCUUCUUAGUCAGACGUGAAAUCCCCAGGCUUAACCUGGGAACUGCGUCUGAUACUGGAAGGCUCGAGUUCGGGAGAGGAAUGUGGAAUUCCAGGUGUAGCGGUGAAAUGCGUAGAUAUCCGGAGGAACACCGGUGGCGAAGGCGGCUUCCUGGACCGACACUGACGCUGAGGCGCGAAAGCUAGGGGAGCAAACGGG